This 748-nucleotide ribosomal RNA is filed under the name uncultured bacterium. Its description in RNAcentral is "bacterial SSU rRNA". It matches the Rfam family "Bacterial small subunit ribosomal RNA", at positions 636 to 1384 of the family's 1533-position model. The record is from RNAcentral.
UNUGACUUGAGUGCAGAAGGGGAGAGUGGANUUCCAUGUGUAGCGGUGAAAUGCGUAGAUAUAUGGAGGAACACCAGUGGCGAAAGCGGCUCUCUGGUCUGUCACUGACGCUGAGGCUCGAAAGCGUGGGUAGCGAACAGGAUUAGAUACCCUGGUAGUNCACGCCGUAAACGAUGAGUGCUAGGUGUUAGGCCCUUUCCGGGGCUUAGUGCCGGAGCUAACGCAAUAAGCACUCCGCCUGGGGAGUACGACCGCAAGGUUGAAACUCAAAGGAAUUGACGGGGGCCCGCACAAGCGGUGGAGCAUGUGGUUUAAUUCGAAGCAACGCGAAGAACCUUACCAGGUCUUGACAUCCCGAUGCUAUUCUUAGAGAUAGGAAGUUACUUCGGUACAUCGGAGACAGGUGGUGCAUGGUUGUCGUCAGCUCGUGUCGUGAGAUGUUGGGUUAANNNNNNCAACGAGCGCAACCCUUAUUGUUAGUUGCCAUCAUUAAGUUGGGCACUCUAGCGAGACUGCCGGUAGUAAACCGGAGGAAGGUGGGGAUGACGUCAAAUCAUCAUGCCCCUUAUGACCUGGGCUACACACGUGCUACAAUGGUCGGUACAACGAGUUGCGAGCCGGUGACGGCAAGCUAAUCUCUGAAAGCCGAUCUCAGUUCGGAUUGGAGGCUGCAACUCGCCUCCAUGAAGUCGGAAUCGCUAGUAAUCGCGGAUCAGCACGCCGCGGUGAAUACGUUCCCGGGCCUNGU